RNAcentral lists this microRNA precursor (78 nucleotides) under Trichobilharzia regenti. RNAcentral's name for it is "mir-3492 microRNA precursor family". It matches the Rfam family "mir-3492 microRNA precursor family". The record is from Rfam by way of RNAcentral. Lineage: Eukaryota; Metazoa; Platyhelminthes; Trematoda; Strigeidida; Schistosomatidae.
AGCCUUUUGUAUCCAUACUGAGACUUCGUCAGUAACCACUCCAUUAGGACUGAUGUGACUCAUCGAAUAAGUAAAGCA